AAGAAACUAACAAGGAUUCCCCUAGUAACUGCGAGUGAAGCGGGAAAAGCUCAAAUUUAAAAUCUGGCGGUCUUUGGCCGUCCGAGUUGUAGUCUGGAGAAGUGCUUUCCGCGCUGGACCGUGUAUAAGUCUCUUGGAACAGAGCGUCAUAGAGGGUGAGAAUCCCGUCUUUGACACGGACUACCAGUGCUUUGUGAUGCGCUCUCAAAGAGUCGAGUUGUUUGGGAAUGCAGCUCAAAAUGGGUGGUGAAUUCCAUCUAAAGCUAAAUAUUGGCGAGAGACCGAUAGCGAACAAGUACCGUGAGGGAAAGAUGAAAAGCACUUUGGAAAGAGAGUUAAACAGUACGUGAAAUUGCUGAAAGGGAAACGCUUGAAGUCAGUCGCGUUGUCCGGAACUCAGCCUUGCUUUCGCUUGGUGCACUUUCCGGAUGACGGGUCAGCAUCGAUUUUGACCGUCGGAAAAGGGCUGGAGUAAUGUGGCACCUCCGGGUGUGUUAUAGACUCUGGUCGCAUACGACGGUUGGGAUCGAGGAACGCAGCGCGCCGCAAGGCAGGGGUUCGCCCACUUUCGCGCUUAGGAUGCUGGCAUAAUGGCUUUAAACGACCCG
This 608-nucleotide ribosomal RNA is filed under the name Ganoderma resinaceum. RNAcentral's name for it is "eukaryotic LSU rRNA". It matches the Rfam family "Eukaryotic large subunit ribosomal RNA", at positions 59 to 651 of the family's 3401-position model. The record is from RNAcentral. Lineage: Eukaryota; Fungi; Basidiomycota; Agaricomycetes; Polyporales; Polyporaceae.